GACGAACGCUGGCGGCGUGCUUAACACAUGCAAGUCGAACGCUGAAGCUCAGCUUUUGUUGGGUGGAUGAGUGGCGAACGGGUGAGUAACACGUGAGUAACCUGCCCCCUUCUUUGGGAUAACGCCCGGAAACGGGUGCUAAUACUGGAUAUUCACUGGUCUUCGCAUGGGGGUUGGUGGAAAGUGUUUUUCUGGUGGGGGAUGGGCUGGCGGCCUAUCAGCUUGUUGGUGGGGUGAUGGCCUACCAAGGCUUUGACGGGUAGCCGGCCUGAGAGGGUGCCCGGUCACAUUGGGACUGAGAUACGGCCCAGACUCCUACGGGAGGCAGCAGUGGGGAAUAUUGCACAAUGGGCGCAAGCCUGAUGCAGCGACGCCGCGUGAGGGAUGGAGGCCUUCGGGUUGUGAACCUCUUUCGCUCAUGGUCAAGCCGCAACAAUGGUUGUGGUGAGGGUAGUGGGUAAAGAAGCGCCGGCUAACUACGUG
RNAcentral lists this ribosomal RNA (483 nucleotides) under uncultured bacterium. RNAcentral describes it as "partial 16S ribosomal RNA". It matches the Rfam family "Bacterial small subunit ribosomal RNA", at positions 28 to 507 of the family's 1533-position model. The record is from RNAcentral.